This is a long non-coding RNA of Numida meleagris (helmeted guineafowl), 11324 nucleotides long. RefSeq lists it as uncharacterized. The transcript is spliced from 8 exons. The record is from RefSeq and is a predicted model, not a curated record. NCBI's taxonomy places the organism in Eukaryota, Metazoa, Chordata, Aves, Galliformes, Numididae.
CGGUGGCCGCUGGAGCGGGUUCGGUCAUGGCAGCUGGCCAGGCGGUGGUGGUGGGUGCAAGUCCUCUGAGGGAAAGCUGCUGUGUUUCUGUCGUUUUUCAUGUGUUAUUAUAUAUUCCCGGUAUAUUAGAGCCUGGAGUAGAGCAGCCUGAGGGGUACGUGCCAUGAAGAACAGCUCUUGGGUCAACCAGGCAGUAAAAGGAGGCCUGGGUUGUGCAGUGCCAUCGUGCCUCUUGUGUCACAGACCAGCCCUAUUUCGUGCUGCUGCUUCUUUGUGGAGGGGUCUUGCAGGACAUGUGUUAGCUUUGUGAAGUUUUAUUAAGUGCUGCCUUUUCCUGAGGAAGGGUGCAGAUGUGCAAUUUUUGCAUAACAGAGUGAUGGGACUGUUAAGGAUGGAAGGGACCUCCUAAGAUUGUGCUGAACUCCUUGCUUCAGCAGGAGUACCUACAGCAGGACCACGUCCAUCAAGUUUCAAUAUUAUGAAGGAGAGAGAUUCCACAACCUCUCAGGGUAACCCGUGCCAGUGUUUCCUGAAGUUCAGAGGAAAUCUUCUGUGUUUCAGUUUGUAUCCAUUCUUUCCUGUCCUGCCACUGGGCACUACUGACAAGAGCCUUGCUCUGUGCUCUUUGCACCCGCCCUUCGGAAACCUACAGUAGGACAUUGAUAAGUACCCUGUGAGCCUCCUCCAAUCUGAGCAGUUCCAGCUCUCUCAACCUCCUCAUGUGGGAGGAGUCACUUCAUCAUGUUUGUGGCCCUAAGCUGGACUUGUUCCAGUAAGUCCGUAUAUUUCUUGUAUUGGAGAGCAGAGAACUGAACCAAGGUGUGGCCUCACUAAUGCUGAAUAGAGAUCACCUCCUUUGACCUGUUGGCAAUGCUCUUCCUAAUAUAGCCCAUGAGGGCUGAGUCAGCCCUCAGCAUGCAAUGAGUUAUUUCUCCCUAGAUGCAGAAUUUGGCAUUUCCCCUUCCUGAACUUCAUGAAGUUCCUCUCAACUCAGUUCUCCAGCCUAACCAAAUGGCUAUGAAAUAAUCUGCUCAAUAGAUGAACGGGGAACAGUGGAUGUGUUAAUUGUGCAAAUUUUUCAAAACUGUAAAACUGAUGAAGUGCAGACAAGGUAGGUGGACCAGUGGUGUGGACCAAAAACUGCUUGGGCUUCCAUGCUCAGAGAGUUGUGAUCAGCAGCACAAAAUUCAGCCGGAGACCAGUCACUAGCAGAGUAGUCCAGUUACUGAAGCCAGUACUUUUCAACAUCUGCAUUUAUUGCCUGGCUGAUGGGAAAGAGGCCACCCUCAGCAAGCUUGCUGGGGAUGCAAACCUGGGUGAAGUGGCUGAUAGACCAGAGUGGAGUGCUGCCAGCCAGAGAGAUCUGGACAAAUGGACUGACAGGAACUUCAUGAAGUUCAGCAAGGGCAAAUGGCAACUCUUGCCGUUGAGGAGGAAUAAUCAGUACAAGGUGAGCCUGGCUGGCUGAAAAGCAUCUUUAAAGGAAAGGAUAUGGAGGUACUGAUGGACAUCAAGUUGAACAUAAACCAGUGUUGUUCCCUUGAAGCAAAGAAGACCCAGCAGUACCGGGGCUGCUUUAGGAAAAGCGUUUCCACUUGGUUGAGGAAGGUAACCCACAGAAUGUUGUUGAACUACAGCCUCCAUCUUCUCUAGGCUUUCCGUAUCUUAACUUCUGUUCACUCAAGGCAUAUGCCAACAAAGUGAAGAUUUUUGUUGAAAUUUUAAAAAUUCAACAAAUUAUUUUGAUGAGCUAACCCCCAAAUUUCAUAGGUGUAUCCAGCUAGCAUUCACCUGUAUGUCUGGUCUUAUUCGUGAUAGAAUUUUGGGGGAGGGCUCUAGUAUGUUGUUACUGUGUACAUAUGUGAUACAUUUUAUUUUGAUUACUUUAAAUCUGGAAUCUGACACACAGGCUGAAAGCUAACAAUGCAGUAUGUUUGUAAAAGAUCUUGUAACCUUCAGAAUUUGUGUCAGAAUACCUGCCUGAUAUGAUACAGAUAAAUAUCGCUAUACUCUCCUAGAUGGAAACGACAUGUAAAGACAUCAAGACCUGAUUUUGCAAGUCAGAUGCAGAUUCAUUGGAAGUGGCAGGAAAGAAAAUAUGAAGGGGAUUGAAGUUCUCUCUUUUUUUCCUUAUUAACCUUCUUGAUGCAGCAUAUACUUUGUGUCCUGUCAUUAGAGAGAUUCUGUACAAAUUGCCUUUCCCAUUGUUAAUAUCACAUCUGCCUUUAGAGGUGUCAAUGACUUUUGCAUGCCUCGUGACUUUUGGAGUCUUCUUCCCUUUAAUUUGGUUUUCUCUUCAGACUCACUGAACACUUGAAGCUUCAGAUGAAAUAGAUUGAACCUGUUAGAUAUUCAUUAUCUCUGGAGAUGAUGUUCUGUGUUUCUCAGCAUGAAUAACCGAAAGUAGAGACACCUAAAAGUUUGAGUGUAACUGACUUUGAUCAAAAUUAUAUGACAAGGAAGACAAGGAAGAAGCUUGUAACAGAAUCCAAAAUAUCAGUGCCUAGCCACUUAUAAAAAUCACUUCCAGAGCUGAUGUGAAAAAAGGCUGUCUUUAAGGAGAGAAAUAUAAAGGUAAAAUAAGUACAUAGGAAAUUAUAAAUGUAUAUACAAUGUAUGUUUCUCAGUAAUCAAUUAUUUCAUUAAAUAGGGAAGCAAUUGUUUCUGAAAGUAUUCUGUCACAUCAUUCAUCUUCUUUUUCUUUUACUGAAAUGUUUGUAGAAAAUUUACUUAAAUAUAUACCAGUAUAAAAGGACAGAAUAAAUAUUGAAUGCCUCUCAUUAAGCAAUGAUCAAUAAAGCUUUUGAAGAUAAUAAUGAAGCCAAUCUAUUCACUCGCCAGGUUGUUUUUUGCGUGUUUAAAACUGUUCUGAUUUAACUGUUGAUUAAAAUUGAUUUGCCUUUUUAUGAAAGGCAGCCUGAAUCAAACAAAGUCUGAUAAUAGUUACACAGACACAUAUAGAGAUGUGCAAUGAGACAUCAUACGUGUUAUGCACUUACUAAUCCAGUGCCAGAUGAUGUUUAACUUUCUGGGGACACAGUGUGCCUGGUAUAACUGCUGCAAAAAGGUAUUGUAAAUGAAGAGCUUAACUGGAUGUAUCCUAGAAGACCUUUCCUAAGGCCAGUUACAAAAUGAUUUAGAUGCAAAUUAACUGAUGGAAGUAUACAUUUCUAUGCAGCAAAGUGUUAUUGAGUAGUUAAUAUGUACUAUAAGAUCAUCAUACUCUAAAGACAAUGUGAUAACUAUAGCCAUAUUUACUUUGCAGUCUAAAGGGUACUUUGCAAAGCACUGUUCUAAGUGUAGUGAUAGACAGACACUCAGAAUUGGAAUUUAAGGCCAAAUCUGUGGAUAAGAAGCUUUUUCUGACUUACAGUUUGAGUGGGAUGCAUUUUUGAAAACGAUGGAUUAAACUGUUGUUGCAGUGUUGGAAAAGCUAAUAUAAUUGAGCGUAUCGUUCUGCUAAAUUACAGUUGAACUAAAAAUUUGAAAAUUUAACUACAGAUUAUGAAGAGAUGGAGGUGGUGCUUUUUUUUGUUUGGAUCUCUUUCUGUUUAAUAGCAGUGAGGUACGGCAUUUUUUGUAACUUUUAAUAAUUGAUUUUUUUUGAGAAAUUGAGUAUGUGUAAAAAAGAAGUCCUUGUUAAAGCUGAUGCCUUACAGUAGCCAUUCUGAUGUCUUUCUCGUAUGUCUUCAGAUGCUGACUUACUUUGCUGUAGAACAUUCUAUGAAUGGAGGCUCCAUGUCAUGUCUUGUGUGUGUUACUUGGUUAUUCCUUACAAUGUUUAUUUGCAAGUUGGUCACUCGCUUCCUACAUGGCAUUGACAAGCAUUCUAGGGAAAAUAAAUAUCCACCAUCAGCCUUUUCAAAUCCAUGGUUGACUUGAAAUUUAGGUUAGAUCUGAGAACACAGUCAUUUCUUCUAUCUUCCUAAAUUACUGAAUUCUUAGCUUUUUAACAAUCACCAAAGAAUUUCAAACUUUUUUUGCCUACAGAACUUCCAGGGUUGUCAACAAUUUCUGCAGCAAGAGAGGUUGUUCAAAAAGUGGUAAGUCUGUCUAUUUCUGCUCCAGAUGUUGCCUACUGGAAGACGCCAUUCUUACAACCAGAAUUUGUUGCCCAAGUAUGAGAAGGGAUGAUAUUGCUGGAAAGUAUGACUAAAUUAAUUACCUUUUUUUCCUUCCUUUAAACAGCUCAGCACCUCAGAAAAGACAUCAUUCAUUUUUUGUUCCUCCAUGUCUCCCACCUAAAUAGUGAUUUGGCGAGAUAAAGUGAUUUUAGAGAUAACCCCUACAAAACCACAGACUUAGGCUGAGUUUGGCUAGGAUUUGCCUUUUUCUAGUUUUAAAUUUGACCUGUUAAUAAAGGUGAAUAUUUCUUUAUUUUUCAAAGUCGAAUUGUCUUCUGUUCUCUGACGGCACGCAGCUAUUGAUGAAACGAGCUGAUAGAUUUGGUCUACUAGUGGAAAGCCCAAAGUACAAAAGCCAUUAUAACAUCAUUAUUGAUGGUUUAUGCAAAUUCAUGUAUGAGAUGGCCUGAAAUUCUUUGUUGUGAGCAAUAAAGAUUUGCCACAAUUUUUGUACCAUAAGAAGCAAUAUUUAAUUGAUAACUUAAAAAUAGUAAUUCAGCAGGAUCUGAUGAUUGAAAUGUAAUUUAAUAUACUAGAAGCAUCUGUUAAUUAAAAUUUCCAUGCUUAAUGGUAUAAUAAAGUUUAAUACUACUCUCAUUUUGUUGUUACUUAAAUUGUCGUUUGAGCUUUCAUGAGCUAUGAAGGACAUGAUACAUAUUUUCCCCAGUCUACAAUUUUAUGUUUUCUUAGAUGUCCACGAUAGCUGAGAAUGAAUAACAUUUAUAAUUCUCAUAUGUAAGUAAUGCUGACAUCUCAAUGUUAAGUGCCCCUAAAUAUUCCUUUCUAGCAAGGCUAAAUAUAACUGUAAUUGGACCAGCGGGAACCUGACAGUUACAGCAAUUACAUGCUCAGCAAAAACAUUUUGAAGAACUUUGUGGAAGCAACUACAGAGCGAGGAAGAAUUGCAGAAUGCUGUAUUUUAAGGCCAUAAGAAAUCCCUGUGUCUUGGUCCCUGCAAGAAGCCAUAGAACUUUCAGAAGUUUAAAAGUGUGCUGGCUGAACUAAAAAAUGUAAAAAUCCUUCUGAUUAUAAAUAAUUUGUCACUUCCCAGCCUUAGCUGUCUGAGCUGUCUAUUGUUUGCUUACAUUUACUUUGUCAGGAGGCUUUAGUAAUGCACUGACUCAACACUUAAUUAUAAUCAGCAGCAAGGAAAAGACACUGCCUUGAGAGAUGCUGUUUCCAUCUUUCCCCAGGCAUAGUUUCUAAAUUUCAGAUGAGGUUCCCCACGCAACACCUCUUACUCCUUUUCUCAUGACUGAUUGCAGAAGCCUGUAUUCCAGCUUCAAAAUGAAAAUAAAUUGAGGUUUUUAGCCCCCUUGGAUUUUUUUUCGUGAGGCUCACUUCUGAGCCUCAUGGCUAUGAUCUGAUUUAUCCAUAGUCUUUAACCGUGUGGGCCCAAAGCUGUUGUUUUUUCCCCCAGGGCAGAUUUAUCAGUCCUAUUCCUUGCAUCUCUCUGCUCACUCACGUUUCUCUUCAUGUAAUGGAAACUGCACAAUGGAAAAAAGAUGCUGUAAAAAUCAGAACUUAAAAAUUGUCCAUCCGGACAAUUAAGAACUGGAUUAAAAAUACUUCUUUUCAAUUAAGAAAUGCUCUUUUCUCUAAAUGUUAUUAAUUUAUUUAACUAUACUGAACCUAUCCCAGUCUGACAACACUGUGACAUGGUUAAAAACCAGCUUUUUUUUUUUCAGCAAAGCAAGUGAGAAUUUAAUGUGUUGAAGCAUAAGGUUAAUUGGGUGUGCAAUGCAACAAAUGUUAGCCUUCAGAAAAUCACCCAGGCAGUCAUUAGACUUAACCCUCUAAUUUGUAGCAGAGAUCUCCUGCACCAAGGAGAUCCAUAAUUCGACUAUGUACAGACUGAACAUUUCCUUUCCUUAGUUUUUCAUUCCCAGCUGUCAACUCAGAUGAGAUCUCACUACUGCACAGCAGGUGGAGGAUGAGGCAAAAACUGAACUCUUUACAUCUAGGCUGGUCAUUGUUUGGGUGAUCUGAAUCUUUUUCCCUAUUUUUUUUUCCACUACGUGGCAUCUCAUUUUUUUAAAAUACCUGCAUCAGAAUGUAACAUUGGUGUUGUUAUGAAUCUUUUACAUGAUAUUUAUUUUCAAUCAUGCCCAUUGAUCUGAAAUGAAUAUUCUAAACAACUACAAACACUCAAGUUCAGUAUAUGAUAGAUACUUGCUUUAAAUUUACAGAUGUUAUAAGGGUAAGCUGCGGAUACUGGGCAUGUGAGAAGUAAAAAUAGCUGCGACAGGGUGUGACAGUUCUGAAAUUAGCUGGGGUCUGGCAUGCAGGAAUUUGAAUGGGAAGCAGCAGAAGCAGAAAACUUAGGCGAGGGCAGCUGACAGAAAGAGGCUUUCUGACAGUAUUCCAGGGAAUGAAAGUUAGAAAGGUCACUGACUUUAGAAGCAGACAGUGACAGUGUUCUCUCUCCAUUUUUUACUAACUUUCAUUUUUUGCCCCUCAGAUUUUCCAUGCUUAAGGCUCGUAUUGCUGUUGAUGACCUUGGGUUUUGUCUAUAUUAUCCGCCUGUUCCUUCACUCUACACCAUCUAACUGUUUUGUUUUUCACAUUCUUCUCUACCUUUUAUAGAUUCCCCCACGUGCCUGGAAUUUCUUGGAACAUGAGGUUUGCUGUUUGCCCCUCUUCUUGGUGUCCUUCCUCAGAAAAGGUUUCCCUGCAAACCCUAGCCCUGUUCAAGCCCACUAUUAGAGACCUAGAAAAGCACUGAGCCAGUCCCUGACAGGGAGGUUUGCAGCAAAAACAUGCAAAGAGAUAAUACCAGUGUGCACUGCCUAACAUUCCUGAAGCUAGAAGCAUUGGCUCCCAUCCUGCUCAGCUGCUGCAGGUCUCACCUUGCAUAACACAGGUGAUGGUUGUGUUCCUGAUCUCAGUAGGUGCCUAAGAGAAGCAUCUCUGUGUUCCUGGGCCCUAGAGCAGACUCUUGGUGCAGUAGCAUGGUUGCUCUCAGGUAGAAAUGCUUGGUGCAGCAGUUACAUGCCACUGGUGCACCUCAAUCAGGGGGCUGCUGGCCUAUCCUCACACCAUGCAGCUGCCAACAGGUGGGAGAGAUGGGAGCUAUGACUCCUGAUCUUGUUUUUAGUUAUCUGAGAAGAUUCUUCUAGAGUUUAAAAUGCCUUGAUAAUUUCACAAGGAAGUCUGAGAUAGUUUUGGAAUAGCAACUGCAAUAGCAGCUGGGUUGAUGGAAAUAUAAGUGAUGCAGCCAGGGAAGAGUCAAAUCACAACUGAAAGAAUAACCAAGAGUAAACAUUUACAGGAAACUGCGUAUAAAAAUGCAUUUGAAGAUUUUUGGAGAUGAAGUUCCAGGGAGAUAAAACGGAACAGUUCUGCAGAACACAAGCUAUUUUGAUGCACUGCACACACUAUUUUUGAUUUUGGUACUGCUUUUAUAUACCGUACACUUCCCACAGAUCUACAAGACUGAGGUCAGCAAACAACUUUCUUUUUCUGUGUAAACGCUGGUAUGCAAGACUCCUUCUGAAGCUGCUGUGCCUGCAGAAGCAUAAGAUAACGGCAAGGAUAUUUACUAGAAGAUCUAUUGUUUGCCUUUACAGCUUCUCCUCCCAGCAUGCAUUAAGCAGAACGAGUUUUGCUGCCAGGAUCUUUCUCUGCUGUCUUGGGAUGGAGGAGGGAGAAGUGUCCACUGAUGAGACAGCUGAUUCUGAAGUAGUCUGAAUAGGACUCCACUGUAAAGAACUUCGAGCGCUAUGAAAUAAACCUCUAACAUUUCAUCUUUUCCAAGACAUCAUCUGAAGAAAGUGAAAAAAGAAGUGAUUUUGUCCACUUAAAGUCAAUUUCUACUGAGAGCUGUAUCAGAAGAGUCCCAGCAUCGUGACUGAGUUUGGGCAUCUAGCCGUGAGUGUUCAUUCCCACUUCUGUAGGGGACUCCCACAUGCAGCUCCUGCCUUCUCCCUUACUGUGGUAUUUUACAGAGCCUCGGAGAUGACAAAGCAGCUGCUUCCCCUGUGCUUGACUGAACGCUUUCUCUACACACCACUGGGGACCUAAAGCUCUCCAGUGCUGCACAGAAAAAUCUAAGCAAGCUCUGAACAGAAGUAAUAUAGCCAAAGGAGCAUGACUCCGUGUCCUAAAACAACCAUCUCGCAAGCUCUAAUGUGAAGAGGCAUGUUAAAUUGUUUACCUGCAUUCUGCUACCAAAGCUGCUGGGGUGUCUCUUCUUCAUGUGGCUUUGUACAAGGUAUCUGCAGUGUUUAAAAAUGGAAACAGAGUUAAUCAGCAAUGUUAGCCAGCCUAGUGUCUCUCAUUCAUAUUAAAGAUGUUGGUUGCUGCGCCCCAUCAUUCCAAUAAGUUAAGACUGCCUGCUCAUCAGUUUUCUAGAGUACACCAAGAAUACUCAUGCUGUCCAAUAUGCUGCAGAACAACUUCUGAUAACACCUACGUAACAGCUUUAUUAUCUCUCCUUGGAUUGUCCCUUAAAAUAGCUCUUUGUGCCUGUAAUUUCUGCCAGGAUGUGGUGAUGAUGAGUCUGUUGGCUUGCAAAUGCUGUUGUGUAUCACACCAAUCAAUACUGUCUGAUUGGUUCUUAUCUGCCUGUAAUGCUUUGUUGUCUACUUGCUGAGGUUGUGAGUGAUUAAGGCAGCCUUCUGAGUUUGUAGAGCAUUUCAUGCAGAAACUUGAUAGAUAUUGGGUUUCUAAGUCCUGGGGUAAUACAUGAAUUAUUAAUAAUAAUAUUAAGCAGCAAGCAAUAUUUCUCUAACAUCCUGCCUCUCUGAGCUUGCACAUGACCCCUCAGCCUCUCAUGCCUUUUGCCACCCCCAAGCACACUCAUGCAACUCAGCAUAUGUGGGAGCGAUUUGCAGCUGUUGAUGUUAAGUAUGUCUGUCUUUAAUAAUUGAAAAGAAUUAGCAUAAUUCUUGACUCGUUGAAUUUCUGUGGGAGAACAGCAACUUCCAGUGGUCAUUUAGAGUCUGGUCAUGUUCUAACAGACUUCAGUGACAACAGUAUUAGGUCCUUAAUGUAUACUUGGCUUUAAAAUUUUCCUUGAAGCCCUGAAUUAUACAUUCAUGACUAAUAUUUCAUACCACAUAUAGUUGUUAGCGCUGCACUCCUUUAAAGGAUUAUUUUGCAGUUGUUUACCUUUGCCAAGGGCCUUGAAAUCCAGAAAUAAAAAAACCUCUGUGGAAACAAGAAGUACUAACUUACAGAGCUGGUUCUUUUCACUAACUCUUUAAAAAGAGUUUGUGCAAUUCAUGCAGUUUGUCAGAGAAUGGCUUAGGAAUGAAAGAUUUGGGGUUCGUGGGGUGGAAAGAAAAGGAGAUCAAGAAAAUCUUCUCUGUUGGUAGAAACACCGAAAGGAAAAUUAAUUCAGAAAGUAGUAAGUAUCGUUUUGCACGUUCACAAAUGUGGAUAUUGUGUAAAUGCACUGAUGUUAUCAGUACUACGGGUGAAAUAUGAAGAAUAUUGUUUCUGGUGACAGAGAUCAUGGUUUAGAACUGCAAUUUUAGUAUAGGCAGUCUGUAACAACUAUCCCAUGCCUUGACAUCCAAACGUGUGCAUGCAUGGAGCAAGAUUGAUGCAGUGGCUGGAUAGAUAGGUAUGGAGGUGCCAAGAUGCCUGUUCUAUGUCUCUACAGGCACGACUAGCUCAUCCUCAUCUCAUGCUUGGAUUGGCUGCUCCUACUUCUUGAGGAGUGCCACCUGAAGCCUGCAAACUCAUCCUAAUUUCUGUCCUCCUCUGUUCUUCCACCCACUGUGAGUAUGCUCUGCCCAAGAGAUCGCUUGGGCUAAGAGCAUGUGUAAGAGCUCAUUCCUAAAUCAGGGAGUGCCUGGCCAAAGCAGAAAAAAGAAAAUACUAACAAAAAGAAAUUAACAGGGGAAAAUUAGUAAUGAAAAGAGGAAUGAGUUGAACUAAGACUAAUCAAAACCAUAGGCAACAACUAGACCAUGAAAAAUGAUCACAGCCAACAUUAGCUGUGCUGCAGCUGGUGUGUGCUCAGGGACAAAACAGCAGAAACAGAAGAAAUGUGUGUAUUUGAGUCUUUCUUUCAGGUAAAGUUACUUAUCUUUGUUUCUCUACUGAGGAAUUCAGAAAUCAGUAGGGAUUUACCAAUCAUUUCCUUUUUUUUUUUUUUUUUUGUCUUGUAUUCCUUUUCUCUAUGACAUUUGAAAGUAGAAUUUGAAAAUAGAAAGUAGGAAAUUAGAGACUAGUGUCUACAAGAGAUGGUGCACAGGGUAAUGAUAUUGUUUUUUAGACGUACAUGCGUAGUCCUGAUUUCCUUUCAAAGAAUAAGGAUUCUUAUCCUCUAGGAAAUCUCUAUUUUAAUUCUGCAACUGUGGUAAAAAUAUGAAUAGAUCACUGCUCUAUUCGAAAAAUCAGGUGCGCUUCACUCUGUCUUCAAAUCUACGGCCUCUAUACAUCAUUUUAGGCCAAUAGGAGGAAUUAUUAAUUUUUUUUUUACGUAAUAUCAUCCAUAAAGUCUCAGAUCUGCUUUGAGAUUCUAUAGCACCAAGCAGUGCACAAACACUGGACGUAUACCUCCCUACAUUAUUUUCUUAAAUUUUAUAUGUCUUGGAAACCGGCCAUUGUGGGAAGAGCAACUCAGCACAAAUGUAUCCAAGAAGGAUACAACUUGCUGGCAAAUGGAAGGAAAGUUCUGUGAAUCUGCCUUUCUACACUGUAAAGUAAAUGAAUAUUCAUCUUCUUCAUGAUUUGGAAAUGUACUGAAAUAAGUAUAUUAGUGCUCAUGAAACCCAGUAAAAACUCUAGUGACUACACAGCCUUGUGUGAAACUCUUUUGAUUCCCAUAGGAGUUAUACGGGUUUAUCAAGACUCCCACAUUUUUUUAUACUAUUGACUUUGUAAUUUAGUAUCUACAUUCUAAUGGCCUAUGUGGAAUUGGCGGAAAUCAAUAUAGUACAAGGAUGUGCUUUAAAUAUGACUGUCUUCAUGAUUAGGAAAAAUGUAUGCCUUCUCAGUUUCAUCUUUCUGUUUUCUGCAUAGGCCAAUGGUAACAUAAAUAAUUUUAAAACAAUGCACCAACUCACUUUGUCUGUGUCCUUGGUUAGUUAAAUUAUUAAUAUAUACUUAGUGCAAGAUGGAUUUCAGCUAACUUUUGCAGCCUGCAGUACGUGCAUUUAUAUCUAACUUUGCUUUUUGGGACAGUUGGUGUGGGAAACAUAAAUGUAAGUAGUAAUGCAUAUCACGAUAUGUUCCUUAAAUAAAGCG